GGUUGUCAUGCCAAUGGCACUGCCCGGUAGCUAAAUGCGGAAGAGAUAAGUGCUGAAAGCAUCUAAGCACGAAACUUGCCCCGAGAUGAGUUCUCCCUGAGACUUAGAGUCUCCUGAAGGAACGUUGAAGACGACGACGUUGAUAGGCCGGGUGUGUAAGCGCAGCGAUGCGUUGAGCUAACCGGUACUAAUGAACCGUGAGGCUUAACCUUA
Molecule: ribosomal RNA, 213 nt
Filed under: Salmonella enterica subsp. enterica serovar Enteritidis
Lineage: Bacteria; Pseudomonadati; Pseudomonadota; Gammaproteobacteria; Enterobacterales; Enterobacteriaceae
Description: partial 23S ribosomal RNA
Rfam family: Bacterial large subunit ribosomal RNA
Source: RNAcentral